CAUUUUCAGGAAAUAGCUUUGAUUUCGUUUUUUUAAACUAAAACCGUACUUAAACCGACACAGGUAAAUAAAUUUAGUAAAUUAAGAUGUUGAGUUAACUGUUGUUGAAGGAACUCGGCAAAAUGACUCCGUAACUUCGGGAUAAGGAGUGGCUUUUUUUGGGCAACCUUUUUAAGCUCACAGAAAAUCGGGAACAGCGACUGUUUAAUAAAAACACAGGUUUCUGCUAAUUUGUAAAAAGAUGUAUAGAAACUGACGCCUGCCCAGUGCUAAAAAACUAACGAAAAAAGUUUUGGCUUUAAUCCUAACUUUUAGUAAACGGCGGCUGUAACUCUGACGGUCCAAAGGUAGCGAAAUUCCUUGGCAUUUAAUUGGUGUCCUGCAUGAAUGGCGUAACGACUGUUCCACUGUCUCCAACACAGGCUCAGUGAAAUUGAAAUAUCUGUGAAGAUGCAGAUUAUUGAAGGCAAGACGGAAAGACCCCGUGCACCUUAACUAUAAUUAUACAUUGUAAUAGAAAAUUUUAUACACAGGAUAUGUGGGAAGUUUACAAAUUCAAUUUAAAAUGUUUAUUUUGGUAAAUAAUUUAAACAAUCAUGAGAUACCACUUUUAAAAUAUUUUUAUUACUAAAUUUUUUAAAAACAUUGUAUAAUGGGUAGUUUGACUGGGGCGGUCACCUCCUAAAAAGUACCGGAGGUGUGCUAAAAGUAAGUUCAUAUUGAAAUAAAUCAAUAUUAUAGAGCAUAAUAGUAUAUACUUGCUUGACUGUAAAAUUGACAAAUUAAACAGGGACGAAAGUCGGUUAUAGUGAUCCGGUGGUUCUGUGUGGAAACGACCAUCGCUCAUCGAAUAAAAGGUACGCCGGGGAUAACAGGCUUAUC
Molecule: ribosomal RNA, 882 nt
Filed under: Ochromonas sp. CCMP1393
Lineage: Eukaryota; Chrysophyceae; Chromulinales; Chromulinaceae
Description: partial Bacterial large subunit ribosomal RNA
Rfam family: Bacterial large subunit ribosomal RNA
Source: RNAcentral